UUCCUGUCUCUUGCCAUCCUUGGGUCUAAGCUGUCUGGCAUUUAGUUGUCGGGCAGUGGCUGCCCAUCGUUUACUGUGAAAAAAUUAGAGUGUUCAAAGCAGGCUUAUGCCGUUGAAUAUAUUAGCAUGGAAUAAUAAGAUAGGACCUUGGUACUAUUUUGUUGGUUUGCGCACCGAGGUAAUGAUUAAGAGGGACAGUUGGGGGUAUUCGUAUUCAAUUGUCAGAGGUGAAAUUCUUGGAUUUCUGGAAGACGAACUACUGCGAAAGCAUUUACCAAGGAUGUUUUCAUUAAUCAAGAACGAAAGUUAGGGGAUCGAAGAUGAUUAAAUACCAUCGUAGUC
Molecule: ribosomal RNA, 342 nt
Filed under: Attheya sp. RCC5587
Lineage: Eukaryota; Bacillariophyta; Biddulphiophyceae; Attheyales; Attheyaceae
Description: SSU rRNA
Rfam family: Eukaryotic small subunit ribosomal RNA
Source: RNAcentral